GGCGCUGCCUACGGAGGUGGCAGCCAUCUCCUCCUCGGCAUCAUGGCCGCCCUCAGACCCCUUGUGAAGCCCAAGAUCGUCAAAAAGAGAACCAAGAAGUUCAUCCAGCACCAGUCAGACCGAUAUGUCAAAAUUAAGCAUAACUGGUGGAAACCCAGAGGUGUUGACAACAGGGUUGGUAGAAGACUCAAGGGCCAGAUCUUGAUGCCCAACAUUGGUUAUGGGAGCAACAAAAAAACAAAGCACAUGCUGCCCAUUGGCUUCCGGGAGUUCCUCGUCCACAACGUCAAGGAGCUGGAAGUGCUGCUGAUGUGCAAUAAAUCUUACUGUGCCAAGAUUGCUCACAAUGUUUCCUCCAAGAACCGCAAAGCCUUCGUGGAAAGAGCUGCCCAACUGGCCAUCAGAGUCGCCAAUCCCAAUGCCAGGCUGCGCAGUGAAGAAAAUGAGUAG
This is a non-coding RNA of Macaca mulatta (Rhesus monkey), 450 nucleotides long. The record is from RefSeq and is a predicted model, not a curated record. Lineage: Eukaryota; Metazoa; Chordata; Mammalia; Primates; Cercopithecidae.